UACGGAGAGUGCAAGCAUUAAUCGGAAUUAUUGGGCGUAAAGGGCGCGUAGGCGGGAGUGAAAGUCAGAUGUGAAAUUCCGAAGCUCAACUUCGGAGCUGCAUUUGAAACUCCAAACCUCGAGGAUUGACGGAGAAAACGGAAUUCCACGUGUAGCGGUGAAAUGCGUAGAUAUGUGGAAGAACACCUGUGGCGAAAGCGGUUUUCUAGUUUAUACCUGACGCUGAGGCGCGAGAGCAAGGGGAGCAAACAGG
RNAcentral lists this ribosomal RNA (253 nucleotides) under uncultured bacterium. RNAcentral describes it as "partial 16S ribosomal RNA". It matches the Rfam family "Bacterial small subunit ribosomal RNA", at positions 524 to 776 of the family's 1533-position model. The record is from RNAcentral.